This is a long non-coding RNA of Lagopus leucura (white-tailed ptarmigan), 5649 nucleotides long. RefSeq lists it as uncharacterized. The transcript is spliced from 3 exons. The record is from RefSeq and is a predicted model, not a curated record. NCBI's taxonomy places the organism in Eukaryota, Metazoa, Chordata, Aves, Galliformes, Phasianidae.
UUAUGAGCUUUUAUGCAUUACUUUUGGUGUGUUAACAGCUUCUGCUGGCACCCAUUUGUGCUUAUAGUUGAAUGAUGAAUGCUCCAAGUUCCCUCAGUCGUUUCGCUAAUCAGUGGCCUGGCCUUCCAAAAUCAUGAGUUCUGAAAAAUGGACUGUUUUCCCUCCAUAUACUCACAGCUUCUGUGCUGAUGUGUGCAAAAGACGGCACAUUGAAAAGCCCUUGGAUGAGUUCAGGGGGCGUGCUGACCCCCAGCCACAGGAACAUGCUCAGACCAUUGGCCAGAAUGAAGGCCCCUCCUUCUGAGAGACGCUCCUCAGAGCAGCGCACUGCAGCUGGCACAGCGUCGCUCUUCAAAUCCAGGUUGUGCUGUAGGGCAAAAUGUGCGUAAGUUGCAAACAUGGGGACUUCAAGGUGAGCGAUGCUCUAACUAGACAUUGAAAAGUAAUAACAACAGGUUUAUUACACCUUAGUGGUUCCUUUCCAGAUGGAGGAAAUCAGGAGUCACUUCUUUUUCAAUUCGUACAUUACGUGCUAAAGAGCACCUCUCCACAAAUAUGAAGCUUGAGCACACCAGGCUCGAGCUUGACUAAAGCUGGCAUUUUUUAUUAGCCAGCUCAAAAACCAGGCUCAUGUUAAGCAUACAGUGGAGUUAUGAGAGGAUGCUGGUGGCAGUGACGGAUCAUGUUACUUCCCUGUUUUCUUUAAACUAGGGGUUCUUCCCUCCUACUUUUAGUUCAGCUAGCAACUACUUCCCUUUAAAAAAACUAAUCCAGCUUGGCCAUGUAGCAGCUGCGUGGCACAGAGAAAAUCUACAUCUUUACAGUUGAAAACAUCACAGCAAUUUAAAAUGAAAACAGUUUUACCGACAGCUAACAGAUGUGCAGAUAACAUACUUACUAUCGGCAGAAGCUGGGGAUAGAAGAACAGCUGUGUAUCAGCUACUCCCAUAGACAUGACCAGUUGUCGAUGGUACGCCCUCUCAUCAGUUGGAAUUUCUGGUCUGCCAGUCAGCACAGUGCUCUUCAGCAGACAGUUCAUGUACACUGGCAGCACCUUCAUUGCGUCUGGAAGGAUGAGCUGAGAGGCAGAGGAGGCUUUUAUUUAAUAUCUCCCAUGUGCUGGGGAAUGACAGCUGGUCUUUCAAGCUAAUAAUUGUUUUCUUUCACAAUAAGUACCUCACUGGCGUUCUAACACUUGGUCUUCACUGAGAGAAAUAAUUCAUUGCCCAGGCUUGUGAUUAUUAGAAGCAUUAAAUAGUACACAAAAGCCUAAUUGGAAAACAUAGUUUAAAGGAGACUAAAGGAAACAGUGUAAAUUGAAAGCCUCCAAUAUUGUUGGGAGUCCUUCGCUAUUAACCUCAGUACUGAAGUAGAAAAUUGCCAGUUGAAGUUCAGAAAAGUGAGGAAGAAGCCACUUUUGCAGCACCUCAAAAUCCAGAAGGGAGACGGAGUAUUGUGAGAGCUGUAAGAAAAACAGAAGUUGAAGGUUUAUGGGAUUUGAGUUCAGUUCAAGUCAAAGAUGAGGAUUGUCCUUUGAACUGGAACAAGGUUUGUGUCAGGAACAGCUGCUAAAAGGAUUUGAAAGCACCUUACCUUACUGUUUGUUAGUUUUGUGACACCCCCAAAUGCUCUGAAUUUGUAAAAAGAGUGAGUAGAUUACUAAAUGUGACAGCAUUUGAAAAUAAGAGGUGUCUUCAUUUGAGAGAAUUUUCAAGUAGUGUGGAACAAAAGUAAUGAGGGACCCACAGCUUCUUACUGCCUGCUGGUAAAUAAAGGAAUUAAGAAGUCAUAUUUUAAUCACCAUAGAUUUUUUUUUGGUAGGAGUAUGUUCCUGUCUCAAUGUCAGAUUUUUAGCAGUAGUGCAUUCUUGAUAUAUCUAUACGCAAAUUCAGGAUGCUAACUGGGUUAUCUCUGUCUUUUGACAGUAACAGUUGUUACAUGUCAAAAAAUCAGACCACUACAAUUGUUGCAGGAAUGGAAGAAAAAAGUGAAAGCUUCUAAGAGUUAGCAUGUAAUUCUACCAGGAAGAAAAGGCUUUGGCAUCUCUGUGGUACAGCUGUCACCUUCCUCUGCAGCACUGUCAUUCAUCCCAAAACAACAGCCUCUGUAUGUUGCUACCACUGCAUCCCACUGUCAUCAUAUUUGAAAGAAAACAAAAAAUACAAGCCAAAACAUGCAGGGCAUAACACCAACUGCAGCUAAACUAACUGGUCAGCUUUGCACUGCAUCUUCCACAAGAAACUCUCAUAUGAAACUCUCAACAACCCUACUGCAACAUCCAUACGCCAAGCACUUUUUCCGUCAUCGCUGCUACACCAGGUCUCCAAUCGUGAUUCCUGGAAGUUAACAAGGAAGCCAUCCAGCAAAGGAACAAAAACUUCUCCAACGUCUGAGACCACCAUCAUCUGAGGCUGAGCUAAGUUACUUUUCACAUUAAAGAAGUGGAGGACCUUGUUGUAAGUGACAAAACCAACUCGAAUUGCUGAGGAUUCUUCCUGUUCUUCUCUGUGAGAAAAAUUAAAAAACGACAGUUACAACUUUGAAACUCUGGCCUUGAAAUGCAAGGCUGCUGCAGAUGGCUGGCUGUAUCAGGUGCAACAAGGAGAACAACCACCAAGAAGAUGUAAUUAAUUAUCCCUCCUCUAAGCAGGAGCUACUCUGCGAUUAGCAGCAGCAUCGCUAUUAGUAUUAAUUGCACCCUUCCCAGGUUUACAGCCCUCAGUGUAGCAAAAGGUGAUCCUAUUAAAAAAAUUGGUCCCAAUUACAUGUGCAGUAGCACCUUCUGUUAGUUUCACAAGUUUCAUCAAAAAAAAUUCAGCUUGGGAGGGAAAAGAUUUUUCUCAUCUAUAAUUUUCAAUAUUCACGUCAAUACGGAAUGUUAAUCCACGACUGUUUUAUGGAGACUGUGCUGGAUGAGAAAGGGGCUGCUCUGAUCUAAGAGAAAUCAAUAUUCUAUAUUGAAAACAUUCCAUAAAGAAGUAUUUUAAAUAAUUUCUCCAAGAUACUCUACAACUCACUAAGAGGUAUAACUUCUGAGUGCACUUUUCUGAACACUUCAAGCACUCAGACACUACUAUUUUCUUAGUGACACUAUUAACAGAGAUCAUUCAGGAACUCAGGACAUACAGCACUUUCUUACUCACAAGAGAAAUAGCUGCAUCAUCCACUGGUCCCAGAGUUCUUACAUAGCAUUCUUACAUAGCAUUGCCUCUAGGACAAUUUUAACAGCACUCUGAUCUGUGAUGGUCUGCACGCUUUGCACAGCCCCAUUUUUCUUCAUAAUUUUAAAGAUCAGUUGCAAACACAGCAGCUGCUUACCUGUGCAGCCAACACACAACACUGUUCUUCAAGUCUCAAAAUGAGAUCUCAGUAUCACACAUGUUCAAAUGUUUUUAAGUUAUGUGUCUAAAAAUCACACUGGCACAACUAGUUAGCCUGACUUUCUGAGCUCGUGGGCAUAAUUUCUAUACAUGCGUUUCUAAAUCUAUCUCUAAAUAGUCAGGCUCCUGGUUUAGAAUAAGUAAAUUUGAAAAUGUUUAUCUUAACAUUUCAAGCAAGCAAACACUGUGUUUUCUGCUGUGCUACAAGUCUGCAAAAGAACAAAACCCUCUGAGCAAGAGGUCUUGGAGCCACCUGGCUCAAUCCAUUUGCUAGUUUUAACUUCUCAAUCCUCAUCCUCUUCCAGGCUUCUCUGCCACGCAUCUUUAUAGCAGUGCCCCUUUUCAUAUUGCUUUGAUACCAAGAAUUCUUUUCUCUUAAAGAAUUUGGACUCCCAGAAAUCUGAGCACAGGGUGAAUUCCCAGCAUGGGAACUGCAGCAAGUCAAAACUACAAGCUGGGAUUUCAUUAAUAACACCACUAGAGUUCACUGCACGAAAGGAAAAGAAAGAAUGCUGCAUGUGCAAUCAGUUCAACAGAUGCUUUCUGUUUGCACAGCAGUAAACCCAGACAUCAAUUUAAGAUUCUCAAAAAUUGCCAGCAAUGUUAAAAUUAACAAACUAACAUUUGGUCACUGUCACCUAUAAAAUGCUUGUAUUGUAAAUUGUGACAUUUCCUGCUUUCCUGAAUUCCCGCACAGCUGCAUGAUAACUGUAGCACAGGAAGUUAAGCCAAACACAUUUAUGUUUCUUUACCUGGGAAGUUUAUCGAGAAGAGUCUUCAGCUCAUCGCAUAUGAGUUUAACAAGGCCACUGUUUAUAUUUCUGUAUGAUACAUCAAUCAUGAAGAUAUAAGCAGGUGGAUUUGGAGGCUUGUUAUUCUACAGAAAAAAAUACCAUUAACAGGGAAAAUUAGACAGUGCCCCGUCAAAAAAGAUUUGCAAAUGGUACAGUAAGGCAAUCUACCUACAGUGUUCAGUCAUCUGAAGAAUGCUGUGGAUUAAAAAUAGUAAUCAUGACAGAAAGAUGAUGGAUUGGUAAGGUCCACCCUUGGAAUAAAACAGUAUGACCAGAAAGUAGCAUCCUACUAGCACACAGUAUUUAAAGGGCAACAGUUGAUUAAACUGUUUAAUUGUUUUAAUACUAACAUCUUCUAAUGGAAUUCAGUUAUUUAAACAAAUUUGUCUUUGGAUUUUUACACACAAUAAUCUUGCUAAUAGGAAUAUUUCAAUUUGGUUUUGUUAAGUGAUUUCUAACCAUUCUGGAAACAGAAAACACGACCCAAGUAUUGAACCAGAAAUAGAAUAUCUCAGUCCUUAGCAGUACUAAGCAUUGAUCAUCUGCAUCCUGUCUGGCUGGCUGUCUUGCUUUCUCAUGCCCCAGUGCGUUCUGAACAGCUAAGAAAGCUGUGUUUUCAGGAAUAAGCUGGUCUUCUCUAAGAUAAUUAAAGCAUGAGAGCAUCAUGUUCACAGUAUGCAACUGCUACAUGUGCAGCACUGACGUGGGCUGGUAUGGACUCCUUUGGGCACAGCUUCUUAGCCACAGUCUUAUGUAAACGCACACAAAGUGUACGACACUGUCACAAUAUUCUGUAAGUAAUACGAUGAUGAAGGUUUUGGUUUUAGUUUUAAAUAAAGCCAUGUCAUGCUUACAGAUGGACCCAGGAGAGGAAGAUCAUACAGAGCGUAGACAGCAACAGUAGCCAUCAUUGGUAGGAAAAGUGAUAUUAGUCUUGUGGCAAGCCUACGUCACUGAGACAAUGCAGUUAUUAGUUGGUGUUGAUCUCAGGACAACCCUUCCAUUAUUGCUACAUGCGGUGCUUCAUAGCCUUCAUGUAAAGACUUCUGACCACUAACCAACCACACUUGCAACAAAUAGACUUCAGAAAACUUUGUGUAAGAAAAAAAUCGUCUGUCCUUUGAAUUAUGACUUACUGUAGUCUCGGAACACUUAACGCUAAUCAUUAUACCCUUGAUCUCACCUCAUAUGAAUCAUGUAAAUCAAGAUUAACUCUUGUCAACUAAAACCAGACAGUAUUUUUAAAAGCUCUUCUGUCUUCUGUAUUUGGAUUCUAGUUUCAUAAACCGUAUCAAACACUAUGAAAUUUCUCAUAGCACGCUGCUGUUUGUAAAGAAUCCCUGCAUAAUUUCUGACAAAUAUAUGGCUGAAAUGAGAACUUGUGCUCUUGCCACAUCCGCUUAGCAGGAGCACAAUAAUGCAGAACAGCUGUUAUUUGUUAACAUUUUUUGUAGCUGUUCAUCCUUGUCAUUUGA